Molecule: long non-coding RNA, 318 nt
Filed under: Medicago truncatula (barrel medic)
Lineage: Eukaryota; Viridiplantae; Streptophyta; Magnoliopsida; Fabales; Fabaceae
Description: lncRNA gene41700
Source: RNAcentral
GGUUCAUUAGUAGGGAGAAGAGAAAUAAAAGCGUAGUUUUUUCAGAUUGGUGGAAUAAUCCACUUUAUUGUCUGCAAAGUGUUUGAUUUCGUCUUGUUAUAAUGGGUAGGAUGGUGAUUUGCGCUGUAGAAAUGAAGAAGCUAUGCUGGUGUUGAGAAGUGGAGCUUAUAGUACUCAAUCAGAUGGUUCGUUGGGGUAAUCUGAUGCUGCUGGUUCUGGUUAUUGUGUAUUGGGUGAGUUGAGAUGUGGUUGCCACUUGACCUUUAUUUAUCAAUUAUCAUGUGUAUCUUAAAGUAGUUUUGUGGCAGCUAUAGUGUA